This 945-nucleotide ribosomal RNA is filed under the name uncultured archaeon. RNAcentral describes it as "bacterial SSU rRNA". It matches the Rfam family "Archaeal small subunit ribosomal RNA", at positions 1 to 940 of the family's 1478-position model. The record is from RNAcentral.
GAAUUCACUAGUGAUUUCUGGUUGAUCCUGCCAGACCCGACUGCUAUCAGAGUGGGACUAAGCCAUGCGAGUCAACGUAGUAAUACGUGGCAUACGGCUCAGUAACACGUAGUCAACAUGCCCAGGGGACGUGGAUAACCUCGGGAAACUGAGGAUAAACCGCGAUAGGCCAUAAUUCCUGGAAUGGUUUAUGACUGAAACCUACAUGGCCCCUGGAUUGGACUGCGGCCGAUCAGGCUGUUGGUGAGGUAAUGGCCCACCGAACCUGUAACCGGUACGGGCUCUGAGAGGAGAAGCCCGGAGAUGGGCACUGAGACAAGGGCCCAGGCCCUAUGGGGCGCAGCAGGCGCGAAACCUCUGCAAUAGGCGAAAGCCUGACAGGGUUACUCUGAGUGGUUCCCGCUAAGGGGAUCUUUUGGCACCUCUAAAAAUGGUGCAGAAUAAGGGGUGGGCAAGCCUGGUGUCAGCCGCCGCGGUAAUACCAGCACCCCGAGUGGUCGGGACGAUUAUUGGGCCUAAAGCAUCCGUAGCCGGUCAUGCAAGUCUUCCGUUAAAUCCACCCGCUCAACGGUUGGGCUGCGGAGGAUACUACGUGGCUAGGAGGCGGGAGAGGCAAGCGGUACUCAGUGGGUAGGGGUAAAAUCCUUUGAUCCAUUGAAGACCACCAGUGGCGAAGGCGGCUUGCCAGAACGCGCUCGACGGUGAGGGAUGAAAGCUGGGGGAGCAAACCGGAUUAGAUACCCGGGUAGUCCCAGCUGUAAACGAUGCAGACUCGGUGAUGGGAUGGCCUCGAGCUAUCCCAGUGCCGCAGGGAAGCCGUUAAGUCUGCCGCCUGGGGAGUACGGUCGCAAGACUGAAACUUAAAGGAAUUGGCGGGGGAGCACCACAAGGGGUGAAGCCUGCGGUUCAAUUGGAUUCAACGCCGGAAAUCGAAUUCCCGCGGCC